This 261-nucleotide ribosomal RNA is filed under the name uncultured archaeon. Its description in RNAcentral is "partial 16S ribosomal RNA". It matches the Rfam family "Archaeal small subunit ribosomal RNA", at positions 748 to 1011 of the family's 1478-position model. The record is from RNAcentral.
CAGCCGUAAACUAUGCGCGUUAGGUGUACUGGUGACCACGAGUCACCGGGGUGCCGAAGGGAAACCGUGAAACGUGCCGCCUGGGAAGUACGGUCGCAAGGCUGAAACUUAAAGGAAUUGGCGGGGGGAGCACCACAACGGGUGGAGCCUGCGGUUUAAUUGGACUCAACGCCGGAAAUCUCACCGGAUAGGACAGACAUAUGAUAGUCGGGCUGAAGACUCUACUUGAUGAUCUGAGAGGUGGUGCAUGGCGUCAGUGCU